UGCGUCUGUGACAUGUCCAUUGCCCUUGACCUCAAUUUCAUGGUUCGGUGACAACAGAACUUGUAAAAUAUUAAUUUCUAUCUUUAUUAUGAGCAAUAGGAGAACUUUAUUUGGUAUGUGCGUACCUUGCAACCUUAUGCCCGUCGGACAUGUUUUAUUUGACCUCGUUUCAUGGAUCAGUGAAAAAGGUUAAUUUUUGGUUGGCAAGUCAAUUCUUAGAUACUAUAAGCUAAUAUGGCUACUAUGUGUAUAGAGGAUUGCAAGGUGCAAAUGUCCAACUGGCAAUCGUCAUCUGACCGUGACCUAUUUUCAUGGUUCAACGAUUAUAGUUCUUAGUUUUUGUGGGUUUUUUUUUCGAUUUCCUUAUACUGUAUAUUUUUUGUGUAUGGAAUAAUUUUAAGGUGUAAAUGUCCAGCUGGUAGUCACCAACCUCAACUUCAGUGUCAUGGUUGAAGUUCAGUGGUGAAAUAAAGUUUUUGUGUUUUGGUCCGUUUUUCUAAAUCUGUAUGCACUAGAUCAACUAUAUUUGUUGUAUGAAAAUUUAAAUUGUACAGGUUUUAUUUUACCUGGACCAAAUUUUUACGGUUCAUUACUCAAGUUCAGUUUUUUUUUGU
Molecule: long non-coding RNA, 614 nt
Filed under: Mytilus galloprovincialis (Mediterranean mussel)
Lineage: Eukaryota; Metazoa; Mollusca; Bivalvia; Mytilida; Mytilidae
Source: RNAcentral